Molecule: ribosomal RNA, 591 nt
Filed under: uncultured bacterium
Lineage: Bacteria
Description: bacterial SSU rRNA
Rfam family: Archaeal small subunit ribosomal RNA
Source: RNAcentral
GUAAAAUCCUGUAAUCCCGGAAAGACGACCAGUGGCGAAAGCGUUAACUAGAACGAAUCUGACGGUAAGGAACGAAGGCUAGGGUAGCAAACCGGAUUAGAUACCCGGGUAGUCCUAGCUGUAAACAUUGCCCAUUUGAUGUUGCUUUCCCGUUGAGGGAAGGCAGUGUCGGAGCGAAGGUGUUAAAUGGGCCGCUUGGGAAGUAUGGUCGCAAGACUGAAACUUAAAGGAAUUGGCGGGGGAGCUCCGCAACGGGAGGAAUGUGCGGUUUAAUUGGAUUCAACGCCGGAAAACUCACCGGGAACGACCUGUGCAUGAGAGUCAACUUGACGAGCUUACUCGAUAGCAGGAGAGGUGGUGCAUGGCCGUCGUCAGCUCGUACCGUAGGGCGUUCACUUAAGUGUGAUAACGAGCGAGACCCACAUCUUUAAUUGCAAAUGUAUAUGGGAAUAUGCAUGCACUUUAGAGAAACCGCCAGCGCUAAGCUGGAGGAAGGAGUGGUCGACGGCAGGUCAGUACGCCCCGAAUUUCCCGGGCUACACGCGCAUUACAAAGAACGGGACAAUACGUUGCAACCUCGAAAGAGAGGAG